AUCAGUUUGGUUUGCUUGCAAACCAAAGCUGGCGACCGGCGCACGGGUGAGUAACACGUAUCCAACCUGCCUCAUACUCGGGGAUAGCCUUUCGAAAGAAAGAUUAAUAUCCGAUAGCAUAUAUUUCCCGCAUGGGUUUUAUAUUAAAGAAAUUCGGUAUGAGAUGGGGAUGCGUUCCAUUAGUUUGUUGGCGGGGUAACGGCCCACCAAGACUACGAUGGAUAGGGGUUCUGAGAGGAAGGUCCCCCACAUUGGAACUGAGACACGGUCCAAACUCCUACGGGAGGCAGCAGUGAGGAAUAUUGGUCAAUGGACGCGAGUCUGAACCAGCCAAGUAGCGUGAAGGAUGGCUGCCCUAUGGGUUGUAAACUUCUUUUAUAUGGGAAUAAAGUGGUCCACGUGUGGAUUUUUGUAUGUACCAUAUGAAUAAGGAUCGGCUAACUCCGUGCCAGCAGCCGCGGUAAUACGGAGGAUCCGAGCGUUAUCCGGAUUUAUUGGGUUUAAAGGGAGCGUAGGCGGAUUGUUAAGUCAGUUGUGAAAGUUUGCGGCUCAACCGUAAAAUUGCAGUUGAUACUGGCAGUCUUGAGUGCAGUAG
Molecule: ribosomal RNA, 595 nt
Filed under: uncultured Bacteroidales bacterium
Lineage: Bacteria; Pseudomonadati; Bacteroidota; Bacteroidia; Bacteroidales
Description: bacterial SSU rRNA
Rfam family: Bacterial small subunit ribosomal RNA
Source: RNAcentral